RNAcentral lists this long non-coding RNA (4347 nucleotides) under Eucalyptus grandis. Its description in RNAcentral is "long non-coding RNA (EGRA_LNC004742)". The record is from RNAcentral. Lineage: Eukaryota; Viridiplantae; Streptophyta; Magnoliopsida; Myrtales; Myrtaceae.
CAAAAAAAAUAUAACGUACGCGCACGUUACCAAAAAAACUAUAACGUACGCGCACGUUACCCAAAAAAAAAACUAUAACGUAUGCGCACGUUACCAAAAAAAAAUAUAACGUAUGCGCACGUUAUAAAAAAAAACUAUAACAUGCACGCACAUUACCAAAAAAAAAUAUAACAUAUGCGCACGUUACCAAAAAAAAAUUAUAACACGCACGUUACCAAAAAAAAAUAUAAUAUAUGCGCACGUUACCAAAAAAAACUAUAAUGUACGCGUAUACUACACGGUAACUUCCCAUAUCUUAGCAAACAUACAAAUGCCAAUUGUCAAGAAUUUAGACAUACAUAAUCCAAUUGUCAAGAAUUUAGACAUACAUAAUCAAAACUAAUAAGAAGUUUCCAAAGAAGUUUCUAAAAAGAUAAAAAACCAGAAGUGCCAAUAAGAUCUCAAAUUUUCAUCUACUCCAUAGUGUGAACUCUGCAACAUUUCCAUGUGACUCCUUUGGCACAACAAAACCUUGCAAAGACAUAAAUACAAAUCAAUCAAAAUCCUAAGUAAAGACACAGAAAAAAAAAUCAAUAUUGAUAAUACUCCAUGAAGCAUGCCAUUUUGCUCAUCUAAAAGCUCCUAAUUUUUUUGACAACAUAGUUCAAAAAUUCAAUGUACAUAAAAAGGAGCUUGCAUUAAAAUUAUGAUAAAAAAAAGUUGCUUAUCAAUAAGCCAACAAAAAACCUUGCUUGAUUUCUCAACCGUUGGAUCCAUUGCAAGUGUGAUAUCACCAACUUUAUUUAUCGAUCAUAAUCUCCGCAUUAAGACCAACCAUAUCUGAAAAAAAGAGGAAGAGAUUAAAUAAAAUAUUCACUUAUCAAAUAUACAAAAAAAAAUUACAAUAUAUAAAGAUAUAAACAUUACUUACCCAACUCAAAUUGUUCGGCGUUCUCAAUACACUCUUCAACAUCAAGCGGUACACGAGCGGCUCUCAACCAAUCUUGAGUGCAAAUCAAAGUUUCCACUACUUGUGGAGUUAAAGAACUCCGAAAGCCAUCAAGCACACGACCCGAUGUACUAAAAGUUGAUUCUGAAGCAACGGUAGUUACAGGAAUUGACAAAAUAUCUCGAGCCAUCAAGGAAAGGAUCUUAUAUUUUGAGCCAUUAGUCUUCCACCAAAUCAAAAUGUCAAUACCAAGAUCCUUUUCAUUUUUUUCUUGAAGAUACUCAUCAAGCUCGGACUUGUUGCCAUCGCUCCCUUGUUCAUUCGAGUAGAAAUACAUUUUCUUCCAAUCUUGGGCGUUAUGCUUCUUUAUUCCUUCGCUACCACUUGUAUCGGUAUUGGAAUUUGAACUAGUACUACUUACACCCAAAUUAUGGCCACCAAAAUCUUGAUCACUUGAAGGAAGAGAAUAUUGUUCAUAAAAUUCAUACAAACGCUCCAAUGUAUCCUUCACCUUGUAAUGCAUCUCUUUAAUUUUCGAUUCAUCAUCAUAAAUUUGUCCAUACAAGAAACUCACAUAAUUUAACUUGGCUCUAGGAUCUAACACAACCGCAAUCAACACCAUCAUAUUCACUUUAUCCAAGCUUCCAUAAUAUUUGUCAAAUUUUUCUUUCAUUUUCACACCCAUAUCUUGAAGCUUAGGAUUCGAUGCAUUGAUCGCCUCUUUCAAAUUUCUAUACAAAACAGCUAUCCCUUCAAAAUAAUCAUUUGAAGUAAUAUAUGAAGUCCCAGACAUCUGAUUGGUGGCAUCAUAUAAUAUUUUGAGAAAAUUCGAAAGAAUAAUAGCAUUUUCCCAAUCAUCUUCACUAGGAGUUUCAUAAUUAAGCUCACUUACAAAAGAUGGAUCGUGAUCUUCCAUCCUUUCGAAAGCUUUUCUGAACUUUAUAGCGGUCUCUAACAUGAGGUAAGUGGAGUUCCAUCUAGUGGCGACAUCAAGAACUACCGAACCCUUAUAAGUGAUUUUUUCUUUCUCAAUGUAAGAUUGAAAUACUUGGGCUCUUGUGGGAGAACUCCUUACAUAUCUAACAAUAUUUCGAAUACGUGCAAUGGAGUCACGUACCAUAGUCAAGCCAUCUCUCACAAUCAAAUUUAAUAUAUGAGCUGUACACCUCAUGUGCAAAACACUACCAUCUAAUAUCAACGACUUUUGUUUCGAAAGUUUAUCCCUCAAAUAGCCAACCGCAACAUCAUUCAAGCUAGCAUUAUCGACGGUAAUUGUCGACACCUUUUUUUCUAUUCCCCACUCCUCAAUACAUCCCUCCACCAUUUUUCCAAUCUCCUUACCCUUGUGACUAUGCAUCACCACAAAAUUGAUGAUUCUUUUAUGCAACUUCCAAUUUUCAUCAAUAAAAUGUGCAGUGAGACACAACUAAUUCAAAUUUUGAUUGGAAGUCCAUGUAUCAGUCGUGAGUGCGAUCCUAGAAUUAAUCUUUCCAAAAUAAUUCUUCAAAGAAGUUCUUUCACAAAAAAACAACUUCAUGCAAUUUUUUGCCACUGUGAAACGUGAUAUAUGUUUGACGAGAGGUUGUAACUCACUAACAUAUUCACGAAAUCCAACACGCUCAACCAAGGAAAAAGGUUGUUCAUCAAGGAUGAUAAACCGAGCAAGCAUUAGCCUACAACGUUCUUGAUUAAAUGCCCAUGUUGAUAAGACGCUACCAGUACUAGAAUCUCCUCCUCCCUUGCCAGCCGUGUUGACAUUACGUGGUACAAAAAAUUUCUGCCUCUUAUCUAGAUUACGGGGAAACCUCUUGCAUGUGAUCAAGUGCUUCCUCAUUGCAGAAGUACCGUUAGCAACACGGUACUUAAGCAUUGACCCACAAUGAAUGCACUUCACUUGAUAUAUGUUUCCAUCCUUAUCACUAAUUUUCGAAUAGUGAUUCCAACAUUCGGAUGUAUGUUUCUUAUCAUGGGAAAGAUGAUAACCGGGUACCUUAUUUGUGGCACUCGAGGUAAGGGGUGCCUCUUCUUCAAUUUCAUCGUUAGAAAACUCCAAUUCCGUAAUCGGAGUCAUUUCCUCACGUCCCUCCACCUCCAUUGAUAUGUUAUCUUGAUACAUUAACUUCACACUGCACAACAAUAAUAGAAUAUAAUUAGAAAUUUCAAAACAAAUAGCAAAGUAGAAAGUAGAAAUAAAACACCACUAGAACAAGAAUGUCUAGAGGUAAAAGUUUUGAAAACAAUUUCGAUUAAACCCUUAAAUAAACUCAGAAAAUUCUGAAAUUUGGACACGUUGUAUUUAAGACCUAGAGGUACAAGUUUCAUGAAGAAAUCGUAGUCCAAUUCGUUCUGGAUUAAAAGAUAAAAUCGAUUUACUUUUCCUAUUCUCUACUUGCACAGUUUUGGAAACAUUUUUGGUUAAAUAGGCAAAUGAACUAAAAAAAUUACGAAAUUUAAAUAUGUUGUAGGGAAGACAUGAAGAGAGAUAUUUCAUGCAGAACACAUUUCCAAAAGAACCUCAUACAAAAUGAUAUAGUCCACGCAUUGCAACUUACAAGAUCCGAACACAUCAGAUUGCACAGUUUUAUAAACAUUUCUGAUUAAAUACCCAAAAUGACCUUCAAAAAUUAUGAAAUUCGACUAUGUGAUAGCCAAGACCAUAAGGUAGAUAAUUCAUGAAAACAUCGAAGUCAAAUUCGUCCUAGAUAAUUAAAUAUGGACGGUUAAAAUCCCUGUUCAUACUACCGUAAUUCCAGAUCUAACCAUCUCCAAUGGACCACGAUUUAACCUACCUAUUCUUGUUUUUUUUCUCUAAAUUUUUUAUAUGUUGUACCUCAGGAUGUCCUUUACAACUUUUGUUAAGAAACAGAAGUGAAAUUUCGACAAAAAGGUUGCCUUACAGUCCAUGCAUUCAUCAAGGGUCGGUCCCAAAAUCUCCAGAUCCAGUCUUUCCAAAGAAUAAUGAUUUCACCCAUUUAUACUUGUUUUUUUUGUCCCAAAUUUGAGUAUGUUAUACUCCAAGAAGUCCUUUACAACUUUCAUUUAGAGGCCGAAGCCAAACUUCAACUAGAACAUUACAUACAAGUCACUAGAACAUCGAAGGUCGAGCUGUUUUUCUCGACAACAAUACACUAGACUAGAGCACCACUCCCACCUCAAUGGAUCAUCUUUUUCGUUUUUUCUUACUUUGCAUUCCACCAAUUGCACAUAAAUAUUUCUUUGUUCAAUAGAUCUUGGAUCAACAACAGUGAAUAGACUUCAAUGCAUUUAACUUGAGACAACAGUGAAUAGACUUCAAUGCAUUUAACUUGAGACAACGCAUUCACCAAUUAUUAAGGGAACAGAGACACAAAAAAGAAAACAGAGCUGCUCUACCUUUCCUAUUCACAACUUGCGGAGAUGGGCGGUGCGGCGCGGAGAUG